GCUUCACCUCCUCAAGCACUGAAGUAUGACAAACGUGGUUCACACCUUCAGCUCUGCGAAGAGAACCGGUUCCGGUUGUUUUGGUGCCCAGAACUGACCUCUGACCUCACGUGGGACAACCUACAGACAUCCAGCACUGUGGUGUCCAACUUUAGCAAAAAUACCCUUUUGGACAACACACUGCUAGACAGCAGUGAGUAAGUGAAAAAGAAUGUUGUCCCUGGGAAAAACUAGACCAGACAACCGGAGGACAAGAUGUGUUUUUUUCUGAUCUUCAAACUUUAAAUGUGAGUAUUUCCCUCAGUAGGCAUGAGAAAAAGAUUUAGGGCACUGGGUCUGUAUUGCAAUUAUAAUAAUAAGGGCAAUGAAAAUCGUGGUCAAAACUGGUAUGUAAGGAAUAUGAAAAGUCAUAAAUACAUCUCUAACUUGCAGUGGUUUUUAAGAUACAAAAAUUUUUCAAAAAUCUAGGGAAAAUUUUGAAAAUAACCUGCAAUAAAGACUGUGAGGAACAAGAAAUGAAGAUGCUCUUUUGCACUGGGAGUUUUCAAUGUCUGACGCCACUUCCAAGAUCUCCAUCAAAUAGUGCCAUUCUCCUGACCCAGAUCCUCUCCUUCGACAAAACGGACCAAAACAUCAGACCUGGUCAUAAUGUAGCCACAACAGGAUAGCGUGGGUUUCACUCCCAGUUUUUUUUUGGUUUCCUUGAUUCCAGCACUGUAAACGAUUAAUGAUGUGGACUUUUGACCAGACAUUUUAGAAAAUAUCCAACUCUAUAAAAUGUGUAAAAUAAAAUGAACUAUUAAAGAUACGAUUGUCUGCUUACAAACAUAUUUUGCACUUUUGGGAGAUUGAGAAAGCCUGGAUGUCUGUUUCUAGAUGGGGGUCAGGGGCACUGGGACUGACUUACAGCAUCGCUAAUGGAGACAGUACCGACUGUCAAAGACACAUAUUACAGCACCUCCGUCUCCGCAGCCCUUGAUGGGGAAAUUUGUCAUCUUAAGCUUGAAAUCAAGCCCUUUCCCUAAAACAAGAUCCAUUAGGCACCAGGGGUGACAUUUAAAAGGAAUUUAGCAUUAUUAGUUAAAAUUCAGCAGAAGACUUGCAGGCAUUUUGACUGGCAGCCUAUAAGCAUAU
Molecule: long non-coding RNA, 1134 nt
Organism: Scleropages formosus (Asian bonytongue)
Lineage: Eukaryota; Metazoa; Chordata; Actinopteri; Osteoglossiformes; Osteoglossidae
Exons: 3
Source: RefSeq, a predicted model, not a curated record